ACGAGGGUGACAGGUGGUGCAUGGUUGUCGUCAGCUCGUGUCGUGAGAUGUUGGGUUAAGUCCCGCAACGAGCCGCAACCCUCGUCCUAUGUUGCCAGCGGGUCAUGCCGGGGACUCAUGGGAGACUGCCGGGGUCAACUCGGAGGAAGGUGGGGAUGACGUCAAUCAUCAUGCCCCUUAUGUCUUGGGCUUCACGCAUGCUACAAUGGCCGGUACAAAGGGCUGCGAUACCGCGAGGUGGAGCGAAUCCCAGAAAGCCGGUCUCAGUUCGGAUUGGGGUCUGCAACUCGACCCCAUGAAGUCGGAGUCGCUAGUAAUCGCAGAUCAGCAACGCUGCGGUGAAUACGUUCCCGGGCCUU
This 359-nucleotide ribosomal RNA is filed under the name uncultured Cellulomonas sp. RNAcentral describes it as "bacterial SSU rRNA". It matches the Rfam family "Bacterial small subunit ribosomal RNA", at positions 1025 to 1382 of the family's 1533-position model. The record is from RNAcentral. Lineage: Bacteria; Bacillati; Actinomycetota; Actinomycetes; Micrococcales; Cellulomonadaceae.